AUGGUAGCCCCGGCUGCCGACGUCUCGGCUCGCCGUGGCACGGUUGUCGCCGUGGCCAGGUGCACGACCGCUGUGGCUGACGCGGAGAGGGCCCUCGUGCGCCGCGGUGUGGUGGCCACCGUGAUCGGGGAUCCCUCCUCCCUGCUCCUGACGGAGGUCAAGUUCGCGAUGACCAGGCACUUCCGUGUCUUGGAGGAGGCCAUUGAGGUGUUCGUGCAUGCGCCGGGGGAGUACCUGCUCGUCUUCGCCGACCACAAUGUUCGGGUCUGCUUGGAGAACAUACCCAAGCAUGCUUGGGAUCUGGAAUCCGUCCGCAACCUGUUCGACCCGGCGUCCAUCCUCAACUCCAUCGACAACGAGGUUCGCUCUGAGGAGGAAACAGGCUGUUUCCGCCUUUGGAUGUGGAUGGCGGAUAUUGAUAAGCUCCGCACCAGAGGGCAGCUCGAGCUUGAAGAACCCCGCGAGAUUGGCUCGCCGGACAUGCACUUCCCGGAGAUCGGCAUGUUCGAGGAGGUCCCAGAGCGCUGGGGCCAGGUGCCCCUGCUCAGCCACGACGUGCUCAUCCACCUCGACUACGUGAUCGACUUCUCCUCCCCGCCCACCUCCAACUCUGACAACAACUACAACGACCACAACGAUAUCAGCGGGCAUCCUUCGGAGGUGGAUAUGACUCCGAAGUGGCCGGCCAAGUGGGGAUACCGCUGGUUCUUUGGCUUCGAGGAUGGUGAUUUCCUGCCUCCACCGCCCCCCGCGUCCCGGCCCACUCCAGACUCCGGUUCCCUAAUGAUGAUGGUGCGGGGCAUGGGGGCGGCCAUGGCGGUGCUGGCUCUAGCAGGCAUGGUGGCGGUGAUCGGCGACGUCUCGGCGGCGAGGCUGGACGCGACCACGAGCUUGGCGGCCGCCGCCGCGGUUCUGGUUCGGCGGCUGCCUCCUUCCGUCAUCGACGCAGCCCUAACGGCAUGGAGCGCCGUGAUCACAGGCGUGCUGCUUUCGGUGCUGGAGGGGAUCCGCCGACAACGGCUUUUGUCGCCGCCCCUGCUUCUCCCGCCUGCUGUUGCGCCCAAGAUGAUGGCCACGCCCACCAGGGUGACCAAGCCCCCUCCGCCGUGCGGUGGUGGACCUGCUGGCCGGCACAGUGGGAGGCUGGCUGCCAAGCCCAGCUGCAGGCUGCCCUCCAUGGAGGAGGCCAGGCUGGUUCUGCUCAAGAAGAAUGGUCUUAUCCCUGCCGCGGAUGAGGCCCCGUCAGACAACGCCCUGCGGCGGUACAAGGAGCUCUUCCAGCAACCGAUGUCAGCCCAAUUCAUUGAGGCUGUUACCUCUCUGGUUCCUGGGGGCGCCAAGCUGAAGACGAGCAAGCGCCCGGGGACUGCUCCCUCUGGCCCGGUUAGUGGAGGGUCGGCUCGGUAUGGAUUGUCCGGCCUUUGUACCUGUACUGGAUACUGCUUCCUCCCUGUAUCAUCUGUGUCUGACAAGUCUAAUACUGUUGUCUACGGCCCUCAAGAUUCAGCUGCCAAGAUUGAGAUGAUGCAUGAGAUGGUUCGAAUCGAGGAUCUGGUGUUGGAUAAAUGGCUUGUCGCUGGGGAUUUUAACAUGAUCUGCAGGGCUUGUGAGAAAAGCAAUGACAACCUGAACCUUCAGCUCAUGGGCAGGUUCAGAAACACUAUCGUUCAACUAGAGCUCAGGGAGUUCCACCUGCAUGGUCGCCGCUUCACGUGGUCGAACAAAAGGGAGCAAACCACACUCACCAUGAUUAAUCGAGUCCUGGCCUCCAUUGCUUGGGAGGAGGCGUAUCCCAACUACCAGCUGACGUCUACCUCCAGCGAUAUUUCUGACCACCACCCGCUGGUCCUUUCUUGCAUGGUCCGACCAAGGUUCAAAGGUUUCAGAUUCAAAGAGGCCUGGCACAAGAUAGAGGGCAUUACUGAGGUUGUCCAAGAGGCUUGGCUUAAGGAUCUUCAGGCUUCUGACGCCAUCCGGGUUCUUCAUAUCAAGUUGGCCAGGACUGCUAAGGCCCUAAAGAAAUGGAGCAAAGCUAAUCACGCCGCGGCUGACCUUGCUUUCGGCAUUGCAAACGAGGUUAUCUUCCAGUUGGACAUUGCCAUGGAGGCCAGACCACUAUCCGAGGCCGAAUGGGAGUUAAGGAAGUUUUUGAAAGCAAAACUCCUUGGCCUGGCUGCUGUGGAGAAAAUCAGAUGGAAGCAACGAGCUCGGCUCUUGAGAAUUAAAGUCGGCAAUGCAAAUACAAAGCUGUUCCGUCUUCGGGCAAAUGGUCGUAGGCGGAAGAACCACAUUCCUAGUCUGCUAGGAGCUGAUGGGAUGGUUUCUGAACAUGCGAGCAAGGCUGAUAUUCUGCUACAACACUUCUCUUCCAUCAUGGGCUCCUCCCAUCAGCGCACUGUGGGUCUCAACUGGGCUGCUCUUAACCUGCCUAGGGCGUAG
This 2439-nucleotide ribosomal RNA is filed under the name Triticum aestivum (bread wheat). RNAcentral's name for it is "partial small subunit ribosomal RNA". The record is from RNAcentral. Lineage: Eukaryota; Viridiplantae; Streptophyta; Magnoliopsida; Poales; Poaceae.